CGGCCGCGUCGACCGGUUUGAUAAGUCUGAAGUUAAAGGCUGUGGCUCAACCAUAGUUCGCUUUGGAAACUGUCAAACUUGAGUGCAGAAGGGGAGAGUGGAAUUCCAUGUGUAGCGGUGAAAUGCGUAGAUAUAUGGAGGAACACCGGUGGCGAAAGCGGCUCUCUGGUCUGUAACUGACGCUGAGGCUCGAAAGCGUGGGGAGCGAACAGGAUUAGAUACCCUGGUAGUCCACGCCGUAAACGAUGAGUGCUAGGUGUUGGAUCCUUUCCGGGAUUCAGUGCCGCAGCUAACGCAUUAAGCACUCCGCCUGGGGAGUACGACCGCAAGGUUGAAACUCAAAGGAAUUGACGGGGGCCCGCACAAGCGGUGGAGCAUGUGGUUUAAUUCGAAGCAACGCGAAGAACCUUACCAGGCCUUGACAUGCAGAGAACUUUCCAGAGAUGGAUUGGUGCCUUCGGGAACUCUGACACAGGUGCUGCAUGGCUGUCGUCAGCUCGUGUCGUGAGNGUCGUGGGAGACG
RNAcentral lists this ribosomal RNA (523 nucleotides) under uncultured bacterium. RNAcentral describes it as "bacterial SSU rRNA". It matches the Rfam family "Bacterial small subunit ribosomal RNA", at positions 564 to 1084 of the family's 1533-position model. The record is from RNAcentral.